UACUCAGGAGACUGAGGUGGGAAGAGUGCUUGAGCCUGGGAGCUCAAGGCUGCAGU
This 56-nucleotide microRNA precursor is filed under the name Chlorocebus sabaeus (green monkey). RNAcentral's name for it is "miRNA (ENSCSAG00000026809.1)". The record is from RNAcentral. Lineage: Eukaryota; Metazoa; Chordata; Mammalia; Primates; Cercopithecidae.